AGCGAACGCUGGCGGCAGGCCUAACACAUGCAAGUCGAACGAACCUUUCGGGGUUAGUGGCGGACGGGUGAGUAACACGUGGGAACGUGCCUUUAGGUUCGGAAUAACUCAGGUAAACUUGUGCUAAUACCGAAUGUGCCCUUCGGGGGAAAGAUUAAUCGCCUUUAGAGCGGCCCGCGUCUGAUUAGCUAGUUGGUUGAGGUAAUGGCUCACCAAGGCGACGAUCAGUAGCUGGUCUGAGAGGAUGAUCAGCCACAUUGGGACUGAGACACGGCCCAAACUCCUACGGGAGGCAGCAGUGGGGAAUCUUGCGCAAUGGGCGAAAGCCUGACGCAGCCAUGCCGCGUGAAUGAUGAAGGUCUUAGGAUUGUAAAAUUCUUUCACCGGGGACGAUAAUGACGGUACCCGGAGAAGAAGCCCCGGCUAACUUCGUG
Molecule: ribosomal RNA, 434 nt
Filed under: uncultured bacterium
Lineage: Bacteria
Description: partial 16S ribosomal RNA
Rfam family: Bacterial small subunit ribosomal RNA
Source: RNAcentral